GAUGAACGCUGGCGGCGUGCCUAAUACAUGCCAGUCGAGCGAACAGAUGAGGAGCUUGCUCCUCUGACGUUAGCGGCGGACGGGUGAGUAACACGUGGAUAACCUACCUAUAAGACUGGGAUAACUUCGGGAAACCGGAGCUAAUACCGGAUAAUAUAUUGAACCGCAUGGUUCAAUAGUGAAAGACGGUUUUGCUGUCACUUAUAGAUGGAUCCGCGCCGCAUUAGCUAGUUGGUAAGGUAACGGCUUACCAAGGCAACGAUGCGUAGCCGACCUGAGAGGGUGAUCGGCCACACUGGAACUGAGACACGGUCGAGACUCCUACGGGAGGCAGCAGUAGGGAAUCUUCCGCAAUGGGCGAAAGCCUGACGGAGCAACGCCGCGUGAGUGAUGAAGGUCUUCGGAUCGUAAAACUCUGUUAUUAGGGAAGAACAAAUGUGUAAGUAACUAUGCACGUCUUGACGGUACCUAAUCAGAAAGCCACGGCUAACUACGUG
RNAcentral lists this ribosomal RNA (497 nucleotides) under uncultured bacterium. Its description in RNAcentral is "partial 16S ribosomal RNA". It matches the Rfam family "Bacterial small subunit ribosomal RNA", at positions 28 to 507 of the family's 1533-position model. The record is from RNAcentral.